RNAcentral lists this transfer RNA (80 nucleotides) under Firmicutes bacterium CAG:449. It matches the Rfam family "tRNA". From Rfam's summary of the family: Transfer RNA (tRNA) molecules are approximately 80 nucleotides in length. Their secondary structure includes four short double-helical elements and three loops (D, anti-codon, and T loops). Lineage: Bacteria; Bacillati; Bacillota. The record is from Rfam by way of RNAcentral.
GCGGGAUUGGUGGAAUUGGCAGACACGCCAGACUUAGAAUCUGGUGGGCGACCAUGCAGGUUCAAGUCCUGUAUCCCGCA